Molecule: ribosomal RNA, 172 nt
Filed under: uncultured Sphingomonadales bacterium
Lineage: Bacteria; Pseudomonadati; Pseudomonadota; Alphaproteobacteria; Sphingomonadales
Description: partial 16S ribosomal RNA
Rfam family: Bacterial small subunit ribosomal RNA
Source: RNAcentral
ACUCCUACGGGAGGCAGCAGUGGGGAAUAUUGGAUAAUGGGCGAAAGCCUGAUCCAGUAAUGCCGCGUGAGUGAUGAAGGCCUUAGGGUUGUAAAGCUCUUUUACCCGGGAUGAUAAUGACAGUACCGGGAGAAUAAGCUCCGGCUAACUCCGUGCCAGCAGCCGCGGUAAU